AGUGAACGCUGGCGGCGUGCUUAACACAUGCAAGUCGAACGGAUCAAAGUAGCUUGCUAUUUUGGUUAGUGGCGCACGGGUGAGUAAUGUAUAGCUAACCUGCCCUUUAGUGGGGGACAACAGUUGGAAACGACUGCUAAUACCCCAUACUCCUUCUUGCCAUAAGGUGAGUCGGGAAAGAUUUAUUGCUAAAGGAUGGGGCUUUAUUGUAUCAGCUAGUUGGUGAGGUAAUGGCUCACCAAGGCUAUGACGCAUACCUGGUCUGAGAGGAUGAUCAGGCACACUGGAACUGAGACACGGUCCAGACUCCUACGGGAGGCAGCAGUGGGGAAUAUUGCACAAUGGAGGAAACUCUGAUGCAGCAACGCCGCGUGGAGGAUGACGCAUUUCGGUGUGUAAACUCCUUUUAUAAGGGAAGAUAAUGACGGUACCUUAUGAAUAAGCACCGGCUAACUCCGUGCCAGCCGCCGCGGUAA
This 476-nucleotide ribosomal RNA is filed under the name uncultured bacterium. RNAcentral's name for it is "partial 16S ribosomal RNA". It matches the Rfam family "Bacterial small subunit ribosomal RNA", at positions 29 to 523 of the family's 1533-position model. The record is from RNAcentral.